RNAcentral lists this long non-coding RNA (1615 nucleotides) under Macaca mulatta (Rhesus monkey). RNAcentral's name for it is "lncRNA (ENSMMUG00000062949.1)". The record is from RNAcentral. Lineage: Eukaryota; Metazoa; Chordata; Mammalia; Primates; Cercopithecidae.
ACCUCAGGGCCUUUAUAGCUCUUCUUUUCUUUGCCUGGCAUGCACUUGGCCCAAAUAGCUACAUGGCUCACUCCCUCAUUUCUUUCAGGUUUCUGCCCCAAGGUUUCUUACUGGAGAGUCAUUCGAUGACUACCCUAUAUAAUAGCAACCUCUCCUACCAUGCCAGCACCCUGUCCCCUUGGCCCUGCUUUACUGUUCUUCAAAGCAUUUAACACACCUGAUAUUCAUUUUCUGUCUCCCCCAACUAGAAUGUAAAUGCCACAAGGAAGGGACUUGGUCUGUUUUGUUCACUGCUGUAUCCCUAGUGUCAAGAACGGCGCCUGGCACAUGGUUGAUGUGCAAUGCAUUGUUGAAUGAAUGAACAGGAAUGGUGGAUAAGUGGAGCCAAUUAGAGAGCAGUGACUAUCACACUAAGUUGCAUGAAUCUUUUCUAAAAAGUUAACCGUUAAGGUCUUUAAUUAAGGGAAUGGACUAUAAAACCAGCGUUAUAGAAAGAUUAAACUGGUGGAGCUGGGAAUGAUGAGUUAGAGGGAAAGUGACACCAGAAAGAAGGAAAACCUAUUAGAAGGCCAUUGCAUUUACUCAGCCACAUUACGAUGAGGGCCUAGUGGUAGCAAUCAGGAUGCCCAAGAUUGGAGAGAAUAUAUAUUGUACAAGUAGCUGCCAGAUGCAUGAAGAGCCAUGACAUGACUUAAACUCCAUUCAGGCAGAUACACAUUACCCACGCCACAUUUCCUGACACACUCCACAUCCUGCAGAUGGCCCAGCCUUUACAGACCUCCUGCUCAGACGGCUACUGUGACAUCUGCACAUGUUCUUCCCAUGUUUCUGCAGCUUUGUUCCAUCCCACAUGUGGCCAUUGGGAAAGUUUUCCUCAAAAAAAAAAGUGAUCAUCCUUGGAUACAAUUAACAGUAUCACCACCUGUCAAUGGCUUUACCUCCUUCCUGUUGUUACAAAGCCAUUUUUAAAAUCUAAAGUAAUUAGCAGUAUGCAUUAAUUUACGGUUAAAAGGAAACAAAGGGCCUCUAAAAAGUGGGAUCAUAUCACUCACUUAUUUCAAUAAACAAAUCAGUCACUUGUUUCUAUAAACAAACCCACAGUAUUUCUGUGUUACACUUUAAAUCUAGAACUGGGGGAGUCUCUGAGCCUCAUCUGGCUCAGGAGGCUUCCCAAAAAAACAAAAAAAUAAAUCUAGAACUAGGCUUGGCCUUCAAGAUUCAGUAACAGUUUUUUGAAGCCCAACCCUAGUUCUAGAUUUAGUUUUUAUUUCUCCCUCAUUCUUUCAACUCCCAUUCUCUCACUAUGCUAAGGAAAUAGUGUCAUUUAGGAAUACCACUAUUAAAGUGCACAUUCACCACUGCCACCCCCACCACACAAAUAAGAUGGAUAUUAUUUAUUUAUUUAUUUAGGGGCAGAGUCUUGCUCUGUUGUCCAGGCUGGAGUGCAGUGGUGCAACCUCGGUUCACUGCAACCUCCACCUCCCAGGCUGAGGCAGGAGAAUGGUGUGAACCCAGGAGACGGAGCUUGGAGUGAGCCGAGAUCGCGCCACUGCAGUCCAGCCUGGGCGACACAGCAAGCAAGACUCUGUCUCAAAAAAAAAAAAAAAAAAAAAAA